Molecule: ribosomal RNA, 253 nt
Filed under: uncultured bacterium
Lineage: Bacteria
Description: partial 16S ribosomal RNA
Rfam family: Bacterial small subunit ribosomal RNA
Source: RNAcentral
UACGGGGGGAGCAAGCGUUGUUCGGAUUUACUGGGCGUAAAGGGCGCGUAGGCGGCGUGACAAGUCACUUGUGAAAUCUCCGGGCUUAACCCGGAGCGGUCAAGUGAAACUGUCAUGCUAGAGUGCAGAAGGGGCAAUCGGAAUUCUUGGUGUAGCGGUGAAAUGCGUAGAUAUCAAGAGGAACACCGGAGGCGAAGGCGGCUUGCUGGACCUGGUCUGACGCUGAGGCGCGAAAGCGUGGGGAGCGAACAGG